RNAcentral lists this ribosomal RNA (89 nucleotides) under Rhodococcus qingshengii. RNAcentral's name for it is "partial 23S ribosomal RNA". It matches the Rfam family "Bacterial large subunit ribosomal RNA", at positions 1 to 83 of the family's 2925-position model. Lineage: Bacteria; Bacillati; Actinomycetota; Actinomycetes; Mycobacteriales; Nocardiaceae. The record is from RNAcentral.
UUUUUAGGUUAAGUUAGAAAGGGCGCACGGUGGAUGCCUUGGCACUAGGAGCCGAUGAAGGACGGGACUAACACCGAUAUGCUUCGGGG